AGCCAUGCCAGUAAGCACAGAGCGAACUAUUCUUUCGCCUUUUACUAAAGAAUACCGUGUGCUUGCUGCUUUUAAGUGGCAUACUUUUAAGUGGCAUACGCCUAUUUUUGGAGAGAAUUUUCUAUAUUGAAAAGC
RNAcentral lists this small nuclear RNA (135 nucleotides) under Helianthus annuus (common sunflower). RNAcentral describes it as "sRNA HanXRQr2_Chr08g0354231". The stretch from base 1 to 116 matches the Rfam family "U5 spliceosomal RNA". From Rfam's summary of the family: U5 RNA is a component of both types of known spliceosome. The record is from RNAcentral. Lineage: Eukaryota; Viridiplantae; Streptophyta; Magnoliopsida; Asterales; Asteraceae.